UUACUUGCGUUCCCUUUGAUUUGCUCCAUACAUACUGUUGAAACGUAACGAGAGCGAAUCUCUAACAUUAGCAACACGACGUUGCAUCGCUUCAAUAAGUUUGAUAUUAUACAUACAGGGCACGUACGCAAUAAUAGUAUUUCUAUAUUUACAAUUAGAUUAAUUUCACGAUGAAUCUUCCGCAUUCUUUCACCUCGGAUAGUUUGCGUCAGUAAAACGGUUGUCAAAUAUCAAUCAUUUCGUUAAAAAGAAUAUUUGGAGUAUCGCAAUCAUAGACGGCUUGGAAUAGUGUUGACCGCGACUCUAUCUAACUGAUUGUUAAACAAGUUAUAAUAGAUACAGUUUCCAGCCUUACAAGACUCAAAUAUUCAUCUAGUCAGAAUAACUAGUUACAUAAUUGACCAUGGCAAUUGGAAUAUCUUAGGAGUUACCGUCUUUUAAACCUAAAGAACAAAGAAACUACAGUCUGCUCCAAAUAUCUGAUGCAUCAGUUCUGAUACCCAAAUGACAUUAUAUCUCCAUUUAUUUGAAUAAUGAGGUCACCAUUUGAUUCUUACGCAGAAGACAACAGUGGAGAAUUUGCGAAGAACGUCAUCAUGGCGAUAGGGUUCUUUCUGAGUAUUGCGGUAGCUUGGUGGAUUGUUAUAAACUAUAGUGAUCCGGAAUAAAACUGACUAGGUAGUUGAAUGUUAAGUUUUUUUCUUCUUAAGUUAAGACCAACAUAAAUAUAUAAAUAUAUUUUUGAAAUGAUAUUGCUAUGCAUAAUUAUGAAAUAAACUAAAUUUAUCAAUAAACUACUAA
Molecule: long non-coding RNA, 801 nt
Organism: Ruditapes philippinarum (Manila clam)
Lineage: Eukaryota; Metazoa; Mollusca; Bivalvia; Venerida; Veneridae
Exons: 2
Source: RefSeq, a predicted model, not a curated record